CCCUUUUUAUCAUUGUUCAUCGGCUCCCACGUUCUACUUCUAUCUCUCACACACCUAUACACACACACAUUUCUUCACCAACACUCAACAUUUGAGAUGACGAUUCCUUAGCCGGAUCUCACAUCCAUGAUCGAUCGCAACGUCAUCUUCGACGACCGAUUCACGUCUCUUAGUGUUAUUCUCUCGAUUUCUCAUAUGUUCAUCUACAUCUAGAAAGUAAUCGCCAAAUCUAGAGAAUCAAUAAAACGAUCGGUAACCAUUACCUUGACCGUCGGUGAUAGAUCUGCAAGAAGACUCUCCUCAAUGAAAGUAACCUUAUGUUGCCGCCUUUUUCCAUCAACUUCAUGAUGAUCACAUCUCCAGGAUCAACAUCGCUUUGCUCCUACCAUCGGGAUUCAUGCAUCCAAGAAAACGACUUAUACAAUCGUUUUCUCAUUGUCAAUGCAAUCGGUUUCUACAAUCGUUCCCAUGCUGAUAUCUACCACCGAUAUCUUCAAUCAAUUUCUCUCCUCAAAGUUUAUGAUAAUUUCAAACCUGAUUUGGAAGAAUUUGUGGAAAAAUAUUAAAGAGGUGAAAAGUGAUAAAUUGAAGAAAAUAUAUAAAUCUUGACAAAAGAAAUUAUAACACAUUGAAUCUUUGUAGCAUUUUUUAUUUUUUAUAUUUUAUUUUGUAUCGAAUAAAAUACAUGUAGUAUUGUGUUUAUAAAUUAGUAAUAAAAAUGAGUUUUUCUUA
Non-coding RNA from Lactuca sativa (garden lettuce), 732 nucleotides. Lineage: Eukaryota; Viridiplantae; Streptophyta; Magnoliopsida; Asterales; Asteraceae. The record is from RefSeq and is a predicted model, not a curated record.